This 723-nucleotide ribosomal RNA is filed under the name Triticum aestivum (bread wheat). Its description in RNAcentral is "partial small subunit ribosomal RNA". The record is from RNAcentral. Lineage: Eukaryota; Viridiplantae; Streptophyta; Magnoliopsida; Poales; Poaceae.
AUGGUCUUCGAGGAUGAGAGCAGCGACGACCUGUCCAGCCGGGAGAUCUCCUCCUCCGACGAUGGUAUGCAUUAUCAAGUCAGUGCUAGAGCUAGGAUUCCUGCUAGCAUUGAAGACCAAGACUACAAUGGCUUGGAGAACGCACCAGAGGGGCUCUGCGUGGAGCAUCGGCUGCAAACUGAGCGCCGUGUAGCUUUUGAAUCAUUUGAGACGGGCAGGAGGUUUCUAGUUUGUGCUCAGCCUCAAAGUCAGAAUUGUGGUUUUCUUGCGUGGGUUGACCCAGAGUGGCCUCCCACAAUGCAAAAUGCAUUGUUGAAGCUUUGGGAAAUGUUUGAGGACAGUAGGCAUGCUAGGAGGAAGGAUAACCUGGAAAGUUCACUUACUAUCCACCACCUUAAAGAAGAGAGAAGGAAUGUGGUUGCCAACUAUGACAACCUAGUUGAAGAUGUCCAUCAACUUCUCAAUGCACAGGAGGACAGGGUGUUGGAUCUCAACUAUGUGCAAGCUAAGGAGAAGAGAGCUGAGGUUGCCAGUGCAUCAACUAUGGCUGGCAUGAAGAAUGAGAUGGAGAAGAAAGAGGCAGAGAACUUGAAGCUGAAAGAGAAGUAUAAAGUGAUGAUGAACCUGCUAGAAGCUCAAGGCAGUGUCAUUAGGAACCUGAAGAUGAAUCAUUUGAAAGAGAAGGAAAAGCUAACUGAAGGCAACAACAAUUUAAAGAUUUAG